AGUUUCGCCAUUGUCGUCCUCGGGCAAUAGCGAUGGCAGCGCGGCACUUGACACCGAUGUGUUUGAAGUAGAUGAGCUGACCCUGAUUGUCGGAGAACGUCAGUGAUGAAACUUC
Molecule: microRNA precursor, 115 nt
Filed under: Sphaeroforma sirkka
Lineage: Eukaryota; Ichthyosporea; Ichthyophonida
Description: Ssi-Mir-Nov-7_pre
Source: RNAcentral